RNAcentral lists this ribosomal RNA (495 nucleotides) under uncultured Bacillota bacterium. RNAcentral's name for it is "bacterial SSU rRNA". It matches the Rfam family "Bacterial small subunit ribosomal RNA", at positions 29 to 507 of the family's 1533-position model. The record is from RNAcentral. Lineage: Bacteria; Bacillati; Bacillota.
AUGAACGCUGGCGGCAUGCCUAAUACAUGCAAGUCGAACGGACUUGAGGAGAGCUUGCUUUCCGCAAGUCAGUGGCGAACGGGUGAGUAACACGUAGGCAACCUGCCCAUGUACCCGGGAUAACAGACGGAAACGACUGCUAAAACCGGAUAGGUAAGAGGGAGGCAUCUUCCGCUUAUCAAAGCACCCAAGGGUGUGGACAUGGAUGGGCCUGCGGCGCAUUAGCCGGUUGGCGGGGUAACGGCCCACCAAAGCAAUGAUGCGUAGCCGACCUGAGAGGGCGAACGGCCACAUUGGGACUGAGACACGGCCCAAACUCCUACGGGAGGCAGCAGUAGGGAAUUUUCGUCAAUGGAGGGAACUCUGAACGAGCAAUGCCGCGUGAGUGAAGAAGGUCUUCGGAUCGUAAAGCUCUGUUGCAAGAGAAAAACGACAAGCACAGGGAAUGGUGAUUGAGUGAUGGUAUCUUGCGAGGAAGCCACGGCUAACUACGUG